RNAcentral lists this ribosomal RNA (253 nucleotides) under uncultured bacterium. RNAcentral's name for it is "partial 16S ribosomal RNA". It matches the Rfam family "Bacterial small subunit ribosomal RNA", at positions 524 to 776 of the family's 1533-position model. The record is from RNAcentral.
UACGGGGGGGGCAAGCGUUGUUCGGAAUUACUGGGCGUAAAGGGCUCGUAGGUGGCCAACUAAGUCAGACGUGAAAUCCCUCGGCUUAACCUGGGAACUGCGUCUGAUACUGGGAGGCUUGAGUAUGGGAGAGGGAUGUAGAAUUCCAGGUGUAGCGGUGAAAUGCGUAGAUAUCUGGAGGAAUACCGGUGGCGAAGGCGGCAUCCUGGACCAUAACUGACGCUGAGGCGCGAAAGCUAGGGGAGCAAACGGG